CCCCCAUGUAUUUUAUUUGUGCAGCCCAUUCCCCAUCAUUUUCUUUUAUUUUUCCUUCAUUCCCUAAUUUCCUUUUUCUUUUUUCUUUUGUCCCCUCUUCCCAGACCCUGCCACCCUUCCUCUAUAAAUAGCCUUUAGAGGUUCGUUAGCCCCUCACUGCCCUCCCUUUACCCCCCUCUUCUAAGCUCAAACCCACUCACACACACAGAGAGAGAGAGAGAGAGAGCUGUCCUGAUAUAUCUAUAUCCUUAGAGAGAGAGAGAGAGA
This 267-nucleotide long non-coding RNA is filed under the name Elaeis guineensis (African oil palm). RNAcentral's name for it is "long non-coding RNA (EGUI_LNC030384)". The record is from RNAcentral. Lineage: Eukaryota; Viridiplantae; Streptophyta; Magnoliopsida; Arecales; Arecaceae.